GGGAAUAUUGGACAAUGGGCGCAAGCCUGAUCCAGCAAUGCCGCGUGGAUGAAGAAGGUCUUCGGAUUGUAAAGUCCUUUCGGCGGGGACGAUGAUGACGGUACCCGCAGAAGAAGCCCCGGCUAACUUCGUGCCAGCAGCCGCGGUAAUACGAAGGGGGCUAGCGUUGCUCGGAAUGACUGGGCGUAAAGGGCGCGUAGGCGGACCACACAGUCAGACGUGAAAUUCCCGGGCUCAACCUGGGGACUGCGUUUGAGACGUGUGAUCUAGAGUGGGGAAGAGGGUCGUGGAAUUCCCAGUGUAGAGGUGAAAUUCGUAGAUAUUGGGAAGAACACCGGUGGCGAAGGCGGCGACCUGGUCCUUGACUGACGCUGAGGCGCGAAAGCGUGGGGAGCAAACA
RNAcentral lists this ribosomal RNA (400 nucleotides) under uncultured bacterium. Its description in RNAcentral is "bacterial SSU rRNA". It matches the Rfam family "Bacterial small subunit ribosomal RNA", at positions 357 to 774 of the family's 1533-position model. The record is from RNAcentral.